GUCCAGACUCCUACGGGAGGCAGCAGUGGGGAAUAUUGCGCAAUGGGGGAAACCCUGACGCAGCAACGCCGCGUGAGUGAGGAAGUAUCUCGGUAUGUAGAGCUCUAUCAGCGGGGAAGAAGGAAGACGGUACCCGACUAAGAAGCCCCGGCUAACUACGUGCCAGCAGCCGCGGUAAUACGUAGGGGGCGAGCGUUAUCCGGAUUUACUGGGUGUAAAGGGAGCGUAGACGGCAGUGCAAGUCUGGAGUGAAAGGCGGGGGCUCAACCCCCGGACUGCUCUGGAAACUGUACGGCUGGAGUGCAGGAGAGGUAAGUGGAAUUCCUAGUGUAGCGGUGAAAUGCGUAGAUAUUAGGAGGAACACCAGUGGCGAAGGCGGCUUACUGGACUGUAACUGACGUUGAGGCUCGAAAGCGUGGGGAGCAAACAGGAUUAGAUACCCUAGUA
RNAcentral lists this ribosomal RNA (447 nucleotides) under uncultured bacterium. RNAcentral describes it as "bacterial SSU rRNA". It matches the Rfam family "Bacterial small subunit ribosomal RNA", at positions 329 to 792 of the family's 1533-position model. The record is from RNAcentral.